RNAcentral lists this ribosomal RNA (243 nucleotides) under uncultured bacterium. RNAcentral's name for it is "partial small subunit ribosomal RNA". It matches the Rfam family "Bacterial small subunit ribosomal RNA", at positions 26 to 285 of the family's 1533-position model. The record is from RNAcentral.
AGAAUCAACGCUGGCGGCGUGCCUAACACAUGCAAGUCGAACGAGAAAGUGGAGCAAUCCAUGAGUACAGUGGCGCACGGGUGAGUAACACGUGACUAACCUACCCUUGAGUGGGGAAUAACCUGGAGAAAUCUAGGCUAAUACCGCAUAACACCUACGGGUCAAAGGAGCAAUUCGCUUAAGGAGGGGUCGCGGCAGAUUAGCUAGUUGGCGGGUAAUGGCCCACCAAGGCAGUGAUCUGUA